RNAcentral lists this transfer RNA (83 nucleotides) under Schistocephalus solidus. It matches the Rfam family "tRNA". From Rfam's summary of the family: Transfer RNA (tRNA) molecules are approximately 80 nucleotides in length. Their secondary structure includes four short double-helical elements and three loops (D, anti-codon, and T loops). The record is from Rfam by way of RNAcentral. Lineage: Eukaryota; Metazoa; Platyhelminthes; Cestoda; Diphyllobothriidea; Diphyllobothriidae.
UGCCUCGUAACUCAGUUGGCUAGAGCGUUGGCUGUACUAAAGCCUUCCCCUUGCUGGCGUGGGUUCAAAUCCCACCGAGGCCG